RNAcentral lists this ribosomal RNA (447 nucleotides) under uncultured bacterium. RNAcentral describes it as "bacterial SSU rRNA". It matches the Rfam family "Bacterial small subunit ribosomal RNA", at positions 355 to 825 of the family's 1533-position model. The record is from RNAcentral.
UGAGGAAUAUUGCGCAAUGGCCGAAAGGCUGACGCAGCGACGCCGCGUGAAGGAUGAGGUAUUUCGGUAUGUAAACUUCGAAAGAAUAGGAAGAAUAAAUGACGGUACUAUUUAUAAGGUCCGGCUAACUACGUGCCAGCAGCUGCGGUAAUACGUAGGGACCAAGCGUUGUUCGGAUUUACUGGGCGUAAAGGGCGCGUAGGCGGCAAUUCAAGUCAUCUGUGAAAUCUCCGGGCUUAACUCGGAACGGUCAGAUGAUACUGCUUUGCCAGAGUGCAGAAGGGGCAAUCGGAAUUCUUGGUGUAGCGGUGAAAUGCGUAGAUAUCAAGAGGAACACCUGAGGUGAAGACGGGUUGCUGGGCUGACACUGACGCUGAGGCGCGAAAGCCAGGGGAGCAAACGGGAUUAGAUACCCUAGUAGUCCCUGAGCGGGCUGGCAAGGCGCAU